Molecule: ribosomal RNA, 253 nt
Filed under: uncultured bacterium
Lineage: Bacteria
Description: partial 16S ribosomal RNA
Rfam family: Bacterial small subunit ribosomal RNA
Source: RNAcentral
UACGUAGGGUGCAAGCGUUAAUCGGAAUUACUGGGCGUAAAGCGUGCGCAGGCGGUUGUGCAAGACCGAUGUGAAAUCCCCGGGCUUAACCUGGGAAUGGCAUUGGUGACUGCACGGCUAGAGUGUGUCAGAGGGGGGUAGAAUUCCACGUGUAGCAGUGAAAUGCGUAGAGAUGUGGAGGAAUACCGAUGGCGAAGGCAGCCCCCUGGGCCAAUACUGACGCUCAGGUGCGAAAGCCAGGGGAGCGAACGGG